AGUGGUAACAAACUCAGCCACUACUAAGCUAUGCUUCGUUCCUUGUCUCUAUGCUGACUUUGUGUGUGUGAUCUUUCGCAGGCAGAAACCUGAACCUUUGAUUAUCUUCGUUGAACACAGCUCCAGAGGUUUCUGGACGAUCAGGUUUACCUACGUUUGGUGGAUUUCGUUUGGAUUUCGUUUCCAAGGAUUAAGCUGGCAGCUUCCUGUUAUUCUCCGACUCCAGAACCAAGGCAGAAGCAUACCCUGUCCACCCUCCAAUGCAAGUACCUGAACAAAGAACUAUUCCUGAACUCACCAGUACUCACUCUUCAGCUCAAGCAAAACCAUCUGGAUUACCCCGCUUCGCACACCUGGGUCCCGACUCCCUCUACCCCUGGCGACCUGACGGCAUUUGCUUAUUGGCAAAUUUACCCGUUCAUGUCCCAGACUCACUGAUUGUAAAUAAACACCUUUCACUUA
Molecule: long non-coding RNA, 462 nt
Organism: Girardinichthys multiradiatus
Lineage: Eukaryota; Metazoa; Chordata; Actinopteri; Cyprinodontiformes; Goodeidae
Exons: 2
Source: RefSeq, a predicted model, not a curated record